UACGUAGGGGCUAGCGUUAUCCGGAAUUACUGGGCGUAAAGGGUGCGUAGGUGGUUUCUUAAGUCAGAGGUGAAAGGCUACGGCUCAACCGUAGUAAGCCUUUGAAACUGGGAAACUUGAGUGCAGGAGAGGAGAGUGGAAUUCCUAGUGUAGCGGUGAAAUGCGUAGAUAUCAGGAGGAACACCGGUGGCGAAGGCGGGUCUCUGGGCCUUACCUGACGCUGAGGAGCGAAAGCGUGGGGAGCGAACAGGAUUAGAUACCCUGGUAGUCCCUGAGCGGGCU
This 282-nucleotide ribosomal RNA is filed under the name uncultured prokaryote. RNAcentral's name for it is "partial 16S ribosomal RNA". It matches the Rfam family "Bacterial small subunit ribosomal RNA", at positions 524 to 817 of the family's 1533-position model. The record is from RNAcentral.